This 449-nucleotide ribosomal RNA is filed under the name uncultured bacterium. RNAcentral's name for it is "partial 16S ribosomal RNA". It matches the Rfam family "Bacterial small subunit ribosomal RNA", at positions 29 to 523 of the family's 1533-position model. The record is from RNAcentral.
AACGAACGCUGGCGGCAUGCCUAACACAUGCAAGUCGAACGAGAUCUUCGGGUCUAGUGGCGCACGGGUGCGUAACGCGUGGGAAUCUGCCCUUUGGUUCGGAAUAACAGUUGGAAACGACUGCUAAUAUCGGAUGAUGACGAAAGUCCAAAGAUUUAUCGCCAGAGGAUGAGCCCGCGUAGGAUUAGCUAGUUGGUGUGGUAAAGGCGCACCAAGGCGACGAUCCUUAGCUGGUCUGAGAGGAUGAUCAGCCACACUGGGACUGAGACACGGCCCAGGCUCCUACGGGAGGCAGCAGUGGGGAAUAUUGGACAAUGGGCGAAAGCCUGAUCCAGCAAUGCCGCGUGAGUGAUGAAGGCCUUAGGGUUGUAAAGCUCUUUUACCCGGGAUGAUAAUGACAGUACCGGGAGAAUAAGCUCCGGCUAACUCCGUGCCAGCCGCCGCAGUAA